CCGACGGUGAGGGGUGAAAGCGUGGGUAGCAAACAGGAUUAGAUACCCUGGUAGUCCACGCCGUAAACGAUGAGCACUGGACGUCCGGAGGGUUCGACCCUUCUGGGUGUCUCAGCUAACGCAUUAAGUGCUCCGCCUGGGGAGUACGGCCGCAAGGUUAAAACUCAAAGGAAUUGACGGGGACCCGCACAAGCGGUGGAGCAUGUGGUUUAAUUCGAUGCAACGCGAAGAACCUUACCUGGUCUUGACAUCCUGCGAACUUUCUAGAAAUAGAUUGGUGCCUUCGGGAACGCAGUGACAGGUGCUGCAUGGCUGUCGUCAGCUCGUGUCGUGAGAUGUUGGGUUAAGUCCCGUAACGAGCGCAACCCCUAUCCUUAUUUGCCAGCACAUCAUGGUGGGAACUAUAAGGAGACUGCCGGUGAUAAACCGGAGGAAGGCGGGGACGACGUCAAGUCAUCAUGGCCCUUACGACCAGGGCUACACACGUGCUACAAUGGGAAGGACAAAGAGCCGCGAAGCCGUGAGGUGUAGCUAAUCUCAGAAACCUUUUCGUAGUCCGGAUUGGAGUCUGCAACUCGACUCCAUGAAGUCGGAAUCGCUAGUAAUCGUAGAUCAGAAUGCUACGGUGAAUACGUUCCCGGGUCUUGCACUCACCGCCCGA
Molecule: ribosomal RNA, 661 nt
Filed under: uncultured bacterium
Lineage: Bacteria
Description: bacterial SSU rRNA
Rfam family: Bacterial small subunit ribosomal RNA
Source: RNAcentral